GGCAUAGUGGUUGGGACUUAGGGGUGCUUAGGUUCCAGACCGCGCCCAGGCCAUAACGCCUGCAACUAGAAUAGCAUGAGGUGAGCCAAUGGUGCUAAAGUGCAGGUCUAGGCACCUAAGCGCACGCCUUGCUGGGCUUAGUACUAGUUGGAUAUAUUUAUAGUGAUGGAAAUAUAUUUAUUUAUUUCGUUUUAUGAUUUUGUAAUUUGAUUUGCAAAGUCAAAUGGAACUUGUCUAUGACUUAAUGUUGAAUGUUGAUAAAACAACUCUUAAAAAGGAGAAUAGUAUCAGAACAUGAUUUACUGCCCUUAUCCAAAAUUUAAUCUGCUCUCUCUCUCUCUCGUCCAAGUCAACCUGACUUCUUGAUGUGGC
This 372-nucleotide unclassified non-coding RNA is filed under the name Hevea brasiliensis (rubber tree). The record is from RNAcentral. Lineage: Eukaryota; Viridiplantae; Streptophyta; Magnoliopsida; Malpighiales; Euphorbiaceae.